This 230-nucleotide ribosomal RNA is filed under the name uncultured bacterium. RNAcentral's name for it is "partial 16S ribosomal RNA". It matches the Rfam family "Bacterial small subunit ribosomal RNA", at positions 118 to 348 of the family's 1533-position model. The record is from RNAcentral.
UGAGCAACCUGCCCUUGACUCUGGAAUAACAGUUGGAAACAGCUGCUAAUACCGGAUAUGACUCCUCAUCGCAUGGUGGGGGGUGGAAAGCUUUAUUGUGGUUUUGGAUGGACUCGCGGCCUAUCAGCUUGUUGGUGAGGUAAUGGCUCACCAAGGCGACGACGGGUAGCCGGCCUGAGAGGGUGACCGGCCACACUGGGACUGAGACACGGCCCAGACUCCGUAGGAGG